This 464-nucleotide ribosomal RNA is filed under the name uncultured bacterium. RNAcentral's name for it is "partial 16S ribosomal RNA". It matches the Rfam family "Bacterial small subunit ribosomal RNA", at positions 28 to 507 of the family's 1533-position model. The record is from RNAcentral.
GACGAACGCUGGCGGCGUGCCUAACACAUGCAAGUCGAGCGAAUGAAGUUCCUUCGGGAAUGGAUUUAGCGGCGGACGGGUGAGUAACACGUGGGCAACCUGCCUCAUAGAGGGGAAUAGCCUUCCGAAAGGGAGAUUAAUACCGCAUAAGAUUGUAGUAUCGCAUGAUACAGCAAUUAAAGGAGCAAUCCGCUAUGAGAUGGGCCCGCGGCGCAUUAGCUAGUUGGUGAGGUAACGGCUCACCACGGCGACGAUGCGUAGCCGACCUGAGAGGGUGAUCGGCCACAUUGGGACUGGGACACGGCCCAGACUCCUACGGGAGGCAGCAGUGGGGAAUAUUGCACAAUGGGGGAAACCCUGAUGCAGCAACGCCGCGUGAGUGAUGACGGCCUUAGGGUUGUAAAGCUCUGUCUUCAGGGACGAUAAUGACGGUACCUGAAGAGGAAGCCACGGCUAACUACGUG